AUACAGAGGGAGCGAGCGUUAAUCGGAAUUACUGGGCGUAAAGCGCGCGUAGGCGGCUUAUUAAGUCAGAUGUGAAAUCCCCGGGCUCAACCUGGGAACUGCAUCUGAUACUGGUAAGCUAGAGUUUUGGAGAGGGAAGUAGAAUUUCAGGUGUAGCGGUGAAAUGCAUAGAGAUCUGAAGGAAUACCAGUGGCGAAGGCGACUUCCUGGCCUAAAACUGACGCUGAGGUGCGAAAGCGUGGGUAGCAAACGGGAUUAGAAACCCGAGUAGUCC
Molecule: ribosomal RNA, 274 nt
Filed under: uncultured bacterium
Lineage: Bacteria
Description: partial 16S ribosomal RNA
Rfam family: Bacterial small subunit ribosomal RNA
Source: RNAcentral